CUUGAGCAAUGUUUAGAGCCGAUUCGGGUGGUGCUGAUGUGUUUAAAUGAGAAAAAUAAAGGACAUAGUAAUGCACUAAAACAAAAACCGUUUACUAACUGACCGGAAGUGUUUUGUAAUUGCAAACCUGAGAAAAGUUGCUAAUGCACCCCUUUUACAAGGCUAUUACUGUAAUGAUUGAAAGACUCCGUGAGAUCCGCGUAUAGACGUAAUUUUGAAAUGCUGAACAUGAAUUCGUCGAACGAAUUCUGAAGGUGUGAAGUGGUGACACUUUUUUGUACUGUAGAAUUAAUUUCUAUGGCUUUUGCAUCAAAGUACAAACUAAACAGUUCAGAAAACAAAGAUAGAAGAAUGAAGCAUACUCAUUUAUGGAAACGGUGGCCUGACAGACCAUGAAAGCUGUAGAACGCUGUAUAACUAGCUGAACGUAAAUUUCAUCUUUAUCAAGAUUGU
This is a long non-coding RNA of Stegostoma tigrinum, 453 nucleotides long. RefSeq lists it as uncharacterized. Lineage: Eukaryota; Metazoa; Chordata; Chondrichthyes; Orectolobiformes; Stegostomatidae. The transcript is spliced from 3 exons. The record is from RefSeq and is a predicted model, not a curated record.